This 468-nucleotide ribosomal RNA is filed under the name uncultured bacterium. RNAcentral's name for it is "partial 16S ribosomal RNA". It matches the Rfam family "Bacterial small subunit ribosomal RNA", at positions 28 to 507 of the family's 1533-position model. The record is from RNAcentral.
GACGAACGCUGGCGGCGUGCUUAACACAUGCAAGUCGAACGGAAAGGCCCUGCUUUUGCGGGGUGCUCGAGUGGCGAACGGGUGAGUAACACGUGAGUAACCUGCCCUUGACUUUGGGAUAACUUCAGGAAACUGGGGCUAAUACCGGAUAGGAGCUCCUGCUGCAUGGUGGGGGUUGGAAAGUUUCGGUGGUUGGGGAUGGACUCGCGGCUUAUCAGCUUGUUGGUGGGGUAGUGGCUUACCAAGGCUUUGACGGGUAGCCGGCCUGAGAGGGUGACCGGCCACAUUGGGACUGAGAUACGGCCCAGACUCCUACGGGAGGCAGCAGUGGGGAAUAUUGCACAAUGGGCGGAAGCCUGAUGCAGCAACGCCGCGUGCGGGAUGACGGCCUUCGGGUUGUAAACCGCUUUCGCCUGUGACGAAGCGUGAGUGACGGUAAUGGGUAAAGAAGCACCGGCUAACUACGUG